This 335-nucleotide ribosomal RNA is filed under the name uncultured Planctomycetales bacterium. Its description in RNAcentral is "bacterial SSU rRNA". It matches the Rfam family "Bacterial small subunit ribosomal RNA", at positions 473 to 806 of the family's 1533-position model. Lineage: Bacteria; Pseudomonadati; Planctomycetota; Planctomycetia; Planctomycetales. The record is from RNAcentral.
CUAAGGCUCCAGAGGAAGCCACGGCUAACUCUGUGCCAGCAGCCGCGGUAAUACAGAGGCGGCAAGCGUUGUUCGGAAUUAUUGGGCGUAAAGAGCGCGUAGGCGGCCUUGCAAGUCAGUUGUGAAAGCCUUCCGCUUAACGGAAGAAUGCCAGCUGAUACUACAGGGCUUGAGUACGGGAGGGGAGAGUGGAACUUCUGGUGGAGCGGUGAAAUGCGUAGAUAUCAGAAGGAACGCCGGCGGCGAAAGCGACUCUCUGGCCCGAAACUGACGCUGAGUGUGCGAAAGCUAGGGGAGCAAACGGGAUUAGAUACCCCGGUAGUCCUAGCCGUAAA